UACAGAGGGUGCGAGCGUUAAUCGGAAUUACUGGGCGUAAAGCGUGCGUAGACGGUUGCGUAAGUCAGAUGUGAAAGCCCCGGGCUCAACCUGGGAAUUGCAUUUGAGACUGCGUAGCUAGGGUGCGGAAGAGGGAAGCGGAAUUUCCGGUGUAGCGGUGAAAUGCGUAGAUAUCGGAAGGAACACCAGUGGCGAAAGCGGCUUCCUGGUCCAGCACCGACGUCAGGCACGAAAGCGUGGGGAGCAAAC
Molecule: ribosomal RNA, 249 nt
Filed under: uncultured bacterium
Lineage: Bacteria
Description: partial 16S ribosomal RNA
Rfam family: Bacterial small subunit ribosomal RNA
Source: RNAcentral